GUGUCCUGCUUUCCAGUGAUGAACUCUUCAGAACUUCCCCUGGAUCCUAACCUUCAGACCAGUAACCUGCUCAUCACCUUCCUCAAGUACUCCUCCAUCGUCAUGCAGGACACCAAAGAUGAACACAGACUCAACAGUGCUAGACUCUGUCUCAUCAUCCUCACCUGUAUAACUGAGGACCAGUAUGCUGAUGCCUUUCUCUCUGUC
Molecule: long non-coding RNA, 207 nt
Organism: Oncorhynchus keta (chum salmon)
Lineage: Eukaryota; Metazoa; Chordata; Actinopteri; Salmoniformes; Salmonidae
Exons: 3
Source: RefSeq, a predicted model, not a curated record